RNAcentral lists this unclassified non-coding RNA (1427 nucleotides) under Hevea brasiliensis (rubber tree). The record is from RNAcentral. Lineage: Eukaryota; Viridiplantae; Streptophyta; Magnoliopsida; Malpighiales; Euphorbiaceae.
GAAAGAAAAAGGGAGAGAAAAGGAAGAAAGGAGGGGGAAGUUGGGGAUUUUUCUUAGAGAGAAGAAUGGGUUUGGAGCUUUCAUGAGCAGAGAACCAGCUUCUUCAUCAGUCUAAGCCAUUUUUGUACACUUUUCUUCUUAGUUUAUUUAGUUCUUAGUCUUUUAUUAUUUGAUUUCUUCCAUCUAUUUCUUGCUUUUGGUUGUAUUAAACAGCAUGAGUGAGUAGUUAAUUCAGAUUUCAAAGUUAGGUUUGUAAAUAUUUGAAUAAAUAUAUGGAUUUGAGUUAGUCUUCAUGUUAUAUUUAUGGGUAUUGUUGCCUUGAUUUGAUUUCUUGUGGGCGUAAUGCAAGUUUAGUGUAGAGCUCUACUAAAUAUUGAUUUUAAUCACUAAUUGAUGAACUAAUAAGUGAAAAUUAGUGGUGGGUGACUCAAGAUUUUAGAGUUUUAAUUUUAGACCUAGAGAUAGGCUAAGGUUUUAAGGGGAAUUUCAAGAUUAAUCAUUGCUUUUAAUGGGUUCUAGUUAGAUUGAUUACUACGAGAGUAGGAAACAUCUAAUUGAGACACUAUUUAAUUAGCUUGAGAAAGUAAUUAAGGGAAUUAAGGAUAAUAUCUCUCUUGGCCAAUUUUACCCAUAAUUAUGAAUAUCUUUAGGAAAUCUUAAUUGGUUCAUUUAUGAAAACCCUACUCUGGAAUCGCUUUCAUCGUAAUAAUAAUUUGAAUAUUAGAUUCUUGUCAUUUAAUUAAUUUUGCAUUUUAAUUAAUUGAUAUUCCAUUGCUUUAAUUUGGGACUUAAAUUUUGGUAAUUUCACUUAAUUGAUUUGAUUUGAUUUGUUCUUCAUAUCUCCAAUUUUAAUUAUCAAAAGUCUAAAUUACCUUACUGAUCAAUAUUUAAAUUUUCAUCCCUAUCCUCGAAGGAACGAUAGCACGAUCCAUGCGCUUGCGAAUUAUACUCAACAUAAACUACUUGAUACUUCAGCAGCAAUUUGGGCAAGCAUGAACAUAAGUCCUAUGAAUUGCGAACAGGAAUGUUGAUGCAUUUGAAUUAGGUGUUUCUAAAGUUGUGAGUCUCCAAAUCCAAUGCUGUUUAAUUCAUUGAAAAGCUAAGUCAGAGCAUUACAAAUGACAAAGAGGGAUCAAAGCCCGAAUUAGUCUCCACGAUUGACAAAAUGAGCUAUGGAUCUUUUGCAAAAGCUCAGACUCGAUGGGUCACGAUCAGUUUCAGUAUUUAUUUUAUAUCUGGAGUUUCAAAUGUCCAAAUGAAGCAAGGCCAAGCUCUAUUGAACCUUAAGAGCAAUCGCUACAACUUCUAUGAAGGGUUAGACGCGAGAUGAGGUCAUUUUAAUUGUAAAAAACGGCAAUCAAGUCGUCACAAUGAGCUAGACCGUCUGACUGAAUCAGUUUCGAUUUUUGGGCCAUAACUUGGGCUGU